This 1511-nucleotide long non-coding RNA is filed under the name Homo sapiens (human). Its description in RNAcentral is "HSALNT0097867". Lineage: Eukaryota; Metazoa; Chordata; Mammalia; Primates; Hominidae. The record is from RNAcentral.
UACAGAUCUCAAAGCAAGGCUUGUUGGACAAAUAAAUGAAGAUGAGCCCAAGAGCCCAGGAGAGGGACCGGGAACAGCAGGGCCUCCGUGACUCACACAAGCUUCAUCCCUGAACCAAGGACGCAGCCUGCCAACAAUGGCCCCAAGCCACACCCCGCCACAGGGGGAACUGAUGCUGCGGUGAGAAGUGACAGCUUUCUGUUGACUCUUUUUUUUUUCAAGCAGAAUAUGAAUUGAGACAUACUUUCAUUUUCAUAAUCAGAACCUAACACUUAGUAACCAAUGUUGGUGGAAGCAAAUGAGAUCACAGUUUGUCUGUUCCAAACUCAUCUCUGGGAAAAGGAGGAGGAAAAAUUAUUGGCACUAUGUUCAGAAUCAUAGCUGAAGAUGCAGAAAUUGUUCAUCCCAAUUUUGCCUUUCUGAAGAAAGCCACCACUAAGAAAACGAAAAGAGAAGCAGCAGACCAGGAGAAAAUAUUUGCAAAACCAAAUCUGAUAACGGACUUGUAUCCAGUAUUUGCAAAGAACUUCUAAACUUAAUAACAACAACGACGACAAAGGAGCAAAAUCCCUGGUGGUCUAGCAGUGAGGAUUAAAAAAGAAAAGAAGCAAAAUAUAUGAACAGCUGUUUCUCCAAAGGAGAUAUACCAAUAGCUAAUAAAAUAUGCACAGAUGCUCCACAACAUUAGUCAUUAGGGAAAUACAGAUUAAAAUCACCAUGAGGUACUACUUCACACACACUAGAAUGACUAAUCAAAGACAGAUAAUAACAGAAGUUGGCUAGGAUGUGGAGAAACAGAACUGCUAUGGUUUUAAUGUCCCCUCUAAAACCCAUGUUGAAAUUUAAUUGCCAUUUGCAGUAUUAAGUAGUGGGACCUUUAUAAAUUACCCAGUCUGUGGUAUUCUGUUAUAGCAGCAGAAAACAAACUAAGACAAGAACCCUCAUACAUUGCAGGUGGGAAUAUAAAGUGGUGCAGCCUCUUUGGAAAACAGUUUGGAGGUUCCUCAAAAAGUUAAACAUACAAUUACCAUAUGACCCAGCAAUUCCACUCCCUAGGUAUCUACCCAAGAGAAAUGAAAACAGGUACUAUACAAACAAAGACUUGUGAGUCACUGUUCAUACAGCAUAAUCCAUAAUAGCCAAACACUGGAAACAACCUAAAUAUCCAUCCACUGAUGAAUGAAUAGGCAAAAUGUGCUCUAUCCAUGCACUGGAACACUAUUCACCAACAGAAAGGAGCAAACUGCUGACGCACGCUGCCGUAUGGAUGAACCUCAAAGGUGGGAAAGUUCAAGAAGCUAGGCACAAGGAACUGCGUAUUGUAUGAUUCCAUUUAUAUGAAAUGUCCGGAAAGGCAAAUUUAGAGAAACAGUAAACAGAUUAAUGGCUGGGUCUGAGGUGGGAACAUGAUUAUCUGUAAGUGGGCAUCAGGGAGGAAUAUUCCUGGGAACCAUGAGAAUGUUCUAGAAUUGAUCUUUAAUUAAUUUUUGUUGUUUUUGUUGUUCUUUGAG